CAGAGGUCCUCUGAAAGCGUGGCUCCAGUUUGAGCUCAAUCCUUCUGAGAAUGUUCAUUCACACUUGGAGGGGGCAGCAUAUUUUGUAGGAAACACAUUAGCUUUGAAAUCAGAUAGAUCUGGAGCUGAACUAUGGUUUCAUUACUUUGAAGCUUCAUCUUGGGCAACUUUCUCGGCUACUCUAAGCCUUCAUUUCCUGUGAGAUGGUUAUGAAUGAGCCCCCAUUACUGUUAUGGAAGCAGCAUGUUGCAUCACUUGAGGACAGCAUUCCAUUAGCUAUCAGGAACACCCUCUCCUGUGAGCCCUGCCUGGCUCAAAAACUCUAUUAUCUGAGAAAUCCUAUCUGACAGCCCCACCUCACUGGUUAUUCCCCUUUCAGCCUUCCAAGCACUCAGAGAACCUGAUGGUCCACAACCUCUGAGGAAAAACUAACUCCCUAGGAGUUCCUUUAUGGUACAGUGGGUUAAGGAUCCAGAGCUGUCACUUAGAAGCCAGGGCUGCUGCCAUGGUACGGGUUCAAUUCCUGGCCCAGGAACUUCCACAUGCCAUGGGCACAGCAAAAAACAAUAAAAAUCUUGUGAAAAUUAAAAAAUAAAAAUAAAAAAGUGAGUAUUCCCUGUUGUGUAAGAGGGACAAAGUCCAGGAGUGUGUAUAAGAACCCAGUUGGUUCUGCCACUAAACAUGCUGUGGUUUGUUUAAUGAGGCUUAUACUCUCACCCUUCUCCAUAUCAUUGAGAACUAUGUCUAGACACUCAUGUUGCAACAGAAGAAAGGGUGGGGGAAAAAAUGUAAUUGUAAUGCAUACAUGUAAGGAUAACCUGACCCCUUGCUGUACAGUGGGAAAAUUAAAAAAAAAAAAAAAAUCUAUGAUUGCUAGUAUUUGUUUAAAAAAAAAAAAAAAAAAACUUAACGAACAGCAUACUUGAAUGAGGCAGAAAAGACGUCCAUAACCAGAAUGUAGUAGAAAUACGCUAUUGGGGUCAGACCAGCCACUUGCUAAAUUUUCAGCUGUAUCACUGGUGCUACGCUACCAGACCCUUUCUCCAGCCUGUGCGCUAACUUUUCUCUUCCUAUAAGACUCAACAGGGAUUUGUCCCCUAGUUUAAAAAAAAAAAAAAAAAAAAAAAAAAAAUCCUGAGGAGGUAGGUAUUAUCCUCACAAGAAAAAUAAGUUAAAUAACUUGCCCGAGAUCAUACAGCAGGUAAAUGGUGGAGCCAAGAUUCAAACCCAGGCAGGCUGGCUCUAGAGUCCAUGUUCUUAAUUAUUCCUCUAUAAUACGUCUUGCAAAAUGGGUAAUAUAUAAACAAGUGUUCCCUGAAGUGAAUAAAUGCCUAAGCAAGAAUAAAUCACACUGGGUGAUCUACCAUUUGACCCCACUAACAAUAUAUAAUAUAUAUUCAUAUAAAACAAUACAUAUAACAAAAUUGGAUGCUCUUCUAUGAGAAUUCCCUAACAGACUAAUCUUUGUCCUUUUGUCUGACUUAACAUUCGCUGGGGGGAGGAAGACCCAUUAUCCCUAAUCCUUACAACAGUUCUGCAAAAGGUUAGCAAGUAUUAUUGGCUCAAUUUACAAAUGUGUAAAUCAUGAUUGAAAAACUAGAGUAAUAGUUUGCCCAAACAUAGCUAGUUACUGACAGAGUCUUUUUCAAACUUAGAUCCCUCUAUUCUAAAGUACAUAUGCUUUUCUUUCUAUUCCACUCUUCCUCUUUAAAAUUAGAAAGUUCUAUAUGGAACUGGCACUAGAAUGACUCCUGAAACAUAAGUUAACAAUAGCAAAUGUUCUAUUUAUAUUAUAUACAUUGUAAUGGAGAAUACCAAAUACCUACAAGAGAAAAAUCUGUAAAGGAAUCUAGUUCCACUACUGAAUUAUAUUAAUGGUUGGAUCCUACGGGUAUUCCCAGAAGGAACUGGUCCAUAAGAUAGGGAAAUAAAGUGUCUGCCACUAUUAAAAAACUAUAUUUAUCCUGCAAGCAAAAAUUAAGUCAGUCUUUACUGGACACUACAAUAUACAAAACACUACAGACUGAGCCAAACUUUAGAAUCUUUCAAAUACAUCAGUGAAAAUCUAAUUCUUCUUGAAGACUCCAUGGUCUACUUACACAUUUAACAUACAGGUUUUACAGAUUUUUACUACCUACCUGUCAACAGCAAAAAAAUUCUUAGCGUUGUAGAGAUGAUCCUGCACCAGCAAUGUCCAAAGUCUCUUGACAGAGUCCUAGAGGCCCCCAGA
This 2230-nucleotide long non-coding RNA is filed under the name Sus scrofa (pig). RNAcentral describes it as "lncRNA (ENSSSCG00000060897.1)". Lineage: Eukaryota; Metazoa; Chordata; Mammalia; Artiodactyla; Suidae. The record is from RNAcentral.